AACUACAAUACAACAGCAAUGACGUGAAUUAUACAAAUACGCCAACAGGCACACAAAACAUGUAUUGUACAGUAUUUUUUUUUAUAAAACCCUUAAAAUCUAAACAUCACAUAUAAUAAGCAAAUGAAAAUAAAAUAGAAACAAUAUCCAUUCGUCCCCUAAUUGUAAAGCGAACAAUAGAAUACCAAAUGGCUCAUACAUUUUUCACAAUAACAUGGUCUCCAUAUAUCAAGUUUCUGGAGAAAGUUAUCUGCACGUUCUUUCACCGCGAAUGUGGAUAUUCUUGCCAGUUCUAUGACGCUUCCAGAUACACGAACUACGAUAAACGCAAAAAUGGAUCGCAUAUUUCCUUGCCUGGGAAAAAAUACGUGACGACACCUUUCGACUCUUUGAACGAAUUACCAACUGAUGUAUUCCGUUGCACUGAUCUCGAAGAAAUAGGUCCCCCGCCCGGGGCGGGAAAAUGCAGAGUAUACAAGAAUCCGGAAUAUUUUGCAUUCCAUAACUUGACUUACUAUGAUUUGCAUCACAUCUUACGAAAAUUUAGGAAUCCAUCUAUGAAAACCGGACGAAAACCUUAAACCCAAACAACCUAAAACCUUGUCUUUAUAUUGGACAUCUUGGCUUGUUUGUGUUUAAAUGGGCACUCAUUAGUUACUAUGUAAAAGUGUGUAAUUUAUCCGAUAAUAUUAGCAACAAGUCUAAAUAUUUGGAUAAUUCGAACUAGAUUUCAGAAAUUGGACACUCACGUGUCCGGUGAGUUAAAGUGGGAGUAUUGAUUUAUAUUUAUUUCGUCAUCUGGCCAUGCUGAGAAUUUUCGCCUGUUCAGUCGGUUACGUUAAACAGAUAUAUUUUUUGUUAAAACUAACUCAACAUGAAGUCGAAUUUGCUUAUGAUCAAAAGUAUUUUAAUACUUUAAAAUAGACAUUUGCAUGGAAAAUUACAGCUUGAGUUAAGUGAUAACAAAAAUAUUAAAUUAAUUUAGUUAAUUAUGGUAACCAUAUGAACAUGCCUAGAAAUCUGCGAAUGUGGUAAGUUGACGAAACAAACAUUAUAUCCAAUAUGAUGUCGAUUUCAAUUAGAGACACAUUUUUUAAUUCUCUAUUUUCAUAGAUAUACCCAAAUAUUUAACGACUUUAUCCGUCACGAUGGAGCCAUAGCCUGAUAUUUCACCCUCUAUAAAAACAAUAAAAAGUGAAUCAG
This is a long non-coding RNA of Plodia interpunctella (Indianmeal moth), 1203 nucleotides long. RefSeq lists it as uncharacterized. NCBI's taxonomy places the organism in Eukaryota, Metazoa, Arthropoda, Insecta, Lepidoptera, Pyralidae. The transcript has 3 exons. The record is from RefSeq and is a predicted model, not a curated record.